CCUACGGGAGGCAGCAGUGGGGAAUUUUGGACAAUGGGCGAAAGCCUGAUCCAGCAAUGCCGCGUGUGGGAAGAAGGCCUUCGGGUUGUAAACCACUUUUGUACGGAACGAAAAGGUCUGCUUUAAUAAAGCGGGCUCAUGACGGUACCGUAAGAAUAAGCACCGGCUAACUACGUGCCAGCGGCCGCGGUAAUACGUAGGGUGCGAGCGUUAAUCGGAAUUACUGGGCGUAAAGCGUGCGCAGGCGGUUAUAUAAGACAGUUGUGAAAUCCCCGGGCUCAACCUGGGAAUUGCAUCUGUGACUGUAUAGCUAGAGUACGGUAGAGGGGGAUGGAAUUCCGCGUGUAGCAGUGAAAUGCGUAGAUAUGCGGAGGAACACCGAUGGCGAAGGCAAUCCCCUGGACCUGUACUGACGCUCAUGCACGAAAGCGUGGGGAGCAAACAGGAUUAGAUACCCUGGUAGUCCACGCCCUAAACGAUGUCAACUGGUUGUUGGGUGCAUUAGUACUCAGUAACGAAGCUAACGCGUGAAGUUGACCGCCUGGGGAGUACGGCCGCAAGGUUGAAACUCAAAGAUAGUAGCGNGNGAGAGCGACGACGACGACGACGGAGGAGGAG
Molecule: ribosomal RNA, 618 nt
Filed under: uncultured bacterium
Lineage: Bacteria
Description: bacterial SSU rRNA
Rfam family: Bacterial small subunit ribosomal RNA
Source: RNAcentral